This 1143-nucleotide long non-coding RNA is filed under the name Mus spicilegus (steppe mouse). Its description in RNAcentral is "lncRNA (ENSMSIG00000017587.1)". Lineage: Eukaryota; Metazoa; Chordata; Mammalia; Rodentia; Muridae. The record is from RNAcentral.
GCCUUGGUGACCACUUGCAUUACUUAUUCUUAUGUACACCUUCUCCCGUGCCACCCCUUGUCUGAAAGCCCCUCUGUUCCUCUCAAGCUGGAAACCUUCCUAAGGAGGAGACUGACCACGGAACUGUAGUUCCAGAGGUCCUAGAAAGAAAUGCAGCUAGCUGCUGGAUGCUGGAUGCUGGAUGCUGGAUGCUGGAUGCUGGAUGCUGGAUGCUGGAUGCUGGAUGCAGGAUCUCCUCUUCACUUGCUGUCCUCCAAGGACCCUGACUAGGCAUACUCCACUAUAUAACCUCACAGGCCUGUUGGCUUUGGAGCAUGAACAAGAGUCUGAAUUACAAUCUCCUGAUGCCUCUGAUAUGAAGAGUCCAUAGGAGUCUCAUAUGCUAAGGUCUCUGCCCUAUGGAGGGAGUUCUGAAACUUUGGAGUCCUGAGACCCCUCUCAGUGUGACUCGCUUCAAUCGGGACAGACACUGCUCGGCUUCUUGAUGCUGUUAGGUCCAGUGGAAGUGGAGGGGCUACGGACAACUGUUCUAUGGCUCACCAUACACUUCUACUUUGCUACUGGAUAAAAAUUGCCCUGGAGUCCUGCACAAUCCUCAUAUUUACCACUGAGAACACAGGAACCCAUUACUCAGCCCAGGUAUCUCACUGUUCUACUCCAACACAAAAGUGGGUGGCCUCAAUAGCAGGAAUGUUUUUCUCACUGUUCUCACAGUCUGUUCUGAGGUCUGUGGCCCCGAUGAGGCCCCUGUCUCCAGCCUACAGAUGACUGCCUUGUCAUUGUGUCCUCAUAUGCAAGAAAAGAAUCUCUGAUUUCCUUUCCUUUUCUGCAGGAGCACCAAUCCCGAGUUCUGACCUCAUGACCUCAGUGACACCUAAUUGUCUCCCAAAGGCUCUCUAAAUACUGCCACACCAGAGGUAGGACAUCUACACUUGAAUUUUUGGAGGACUCUCAGUCCCUAGCAGGUCCAUUUCUAAUUCCUCAAGAACAGCCUCGAAAGCACUUUCAGUGGUAAGCAAUUAUUUCAUUCACACCGGUCAUCUCCAUCUCUUAAAGACAGAAUUGUCCCACUGGUAUCUAGGCUUAUGCAAAAAUGGCUCUCAGAAUACAUCUGCAGGAAAGAAUAUAAAAGCAGAAACCAAU